This is a long non-coding RNA of Herpailurus yagouaroundi (jaguarundi), 1322 nucleotides long. RefSeq lists it as uncharacterized. The record is from RefSeq and is a predicted model, not a curated record. Lineage: Eukaryota; Metazoa; Chordata; Mammalia; Carnivora; Felidae. The transcript is spliced from 4 exons.
CUUGCUUGUGCUCUCUCUGUCUCUCUCAAAAAUGAAUAAACAUUUUUUUUUCAUUAAAAAAAAAUUUAAGUGGAUUAUUUCACUUAAACCAUUCUUUCAACACUUAUUUGCACACGCCCGAAAUGCCAGCAAGGUUCUAGGUGCUGUGAGAUAGCGGUGGACAAAAGAGACAAAGUCCCCUGGAGAAUCAAAGGGCGAUUUAUACACGCAGUGCAAUAUUAUUCAGCCUUAAAGAAGAAGGAAACCCUGUCACGGGCCGCCACGUGGAUGGAUGCUGGGGACAGACGCUAAGUGAAAUAAUCCAGGCACAAACAGACGAACGCUGUAUGAUCCCACUCACAUGAGAGAGACCAAGUGCCUGCUCUCGAGGGGUCCAUGUUCUAGAGGAGACGUCUCUAGUCCAGCGGCUGCACCGGACUUGGGGUUCAGAGUGAUGAUCUCAUGCUCUGUACAGCCCUCCUUGCUGAGGCUCCCGCACGGAUGAGUGAAGUACGCGCCCAUGUUCACCUUGGGCGCCGGCCGGGGGUACAUGCUGACACCCCGAGGGGUCCUUGAACUAUCACACAGCCAUGCUGCAGCCUGCUUCUCCGAUGCCGCUGGGCACAGAGCUACCAGCCCCAGGGAUUCUGCCCACUUCCUUCGUCCCCUGGGGGCACAUCAGCCCAGGAUGUCUUCCUGAUGGCUCCCGGACCACAAGAGUGUGCUGGCAGCAUAUGGUCCAGCACCACCCAGCUCCUGACUGCAGACAAGCUCUUCUGCCUUGGAAGUGCUGAGAAGUGUUGCCCGCCCAAUCCGGAGGACCGUCUGCCAGUUGUUAAUGAUCUGCUAGAAUCCCAGCUCCAAGGCCACCUCAGCGGUGCCGUCUUCUGGAGGAAAUCAUGCCCCCUCCUGGGCUCCCCUGGUCCUCAUUCAGACUGGCCCGGGUCACAGUCUCACCUGCAUUUCGGUAGGUUGUGUUCAGUCCCUUGUCAUCCCCGGUGCAUGUCCCCCUGGUGCAGGCAGAACUCACCAGGGAAUCCAGAGCGGCUCCACGUGGGAGGCAUGUGGGACCUGCCUAUUGGCUGUGAAACGAACAGCCCCCUCGUUCCCCACUGGCAGGCGAGGAUAGUUAAGCAGAGGGCGGAGGACUGGACAAGAAGAGACAGUCUUGACAUUGGCCAGGAGAGGCUCUGCCGGAAUCUAGACCCUCAGCUGUUUCCAUGGCCCCGGGACAGCUGCUUCUGAAUCCCUUCCUCAAAGUCAAGCGCACUGAGGACCUAGGAGGAGAAUGAUCCUGAAGAUGCUCCCCAUCAGGUCAUGCUCUGGGUCCGGGCGCCUCAUGU